RNAcentral lists this long non-coding RNA (817 nucleotides) under Triticum aestivum (bread wheat). RNAcentral's name for it is "long non-coding RNA (TAES_LNC010861)". The record is from RNAcentral. Lineage: Eukaryota; Viridiplantae; Streptophyta; Magnoliopsida; Poales; Poaceae.
CCUGAAUGAAAGAAAGCGGGUCGAAUCCCUAGGCGGCUACGUCGACGACGGCUAUCUGAACGGCCAGCUAGCGGUCACCAGAGCGCUGGGUGACUGGCACCUCGACGGCCUGAAGGAGAUAGGCGAGCCGGGAGGCCCGCUGAGCGCAGAACCGGAGCUCAAGAUGAUCACGCUGACCAAGGACGAUGAGUUCCUCAUCAUCGGCAGCGACGGCAUCUGGGACUACUUCUCCAACCAGAACUCGGUGGACUUUGCGCGGCGGAGGCUCCAGGAGCACAACGACCUCCGGCGGUGCUGCAAGGAGAUCGUGGAGGAGGCGAUCCGGCGGGGCGCCACUGACAACCUGACGGCGGUCAUGGUCUCCUUCCACCAGGAGGCCCCUCCCCAGAUCAGGGUGAACAGGGCGGGCAGGGUCGAGCGGAGCAUCUCGGCCGAGGGGCUCCAUAGCCUCAGGGUGCUCCUGGAAGGCCAGUGAUCGAUCUCCGACGGCGCGCCAUUGUCGCCGCCUUCUUCCUCUGCAUUGUUGAGUGUCAACUGUAAGUACCGAUCCGCCGUCGUCGACAUGCCAGUUGUGGCUCCAUUGUUACCUGGGAAUAAAACCAACGAACCUGAAGAAGAUCUCACCCGCCAUUGUGAAUUGUUUGUGAGGCACCUGUAAAUAUAAGUUGGGAGCUUAAUUAGGGUGGUAUAAAAGGGAGUCAGUAGCGUGCAUCCAGGGGGCUUUGAGGCUCAUUAUGAGAUGAUGAGAUGUGUUGUUCCCCCUGUUUAAGUUUUGUCUGUCAAAGAAACCAUUCUCUGGUUAUUGCUAUUGUAUCAG